RNAcentral lists this long non-coding RNA (237 nucleotides) under Prunus persica (peach). Its description in RNAcentral is "long non-coding RNA (PPER_LNC000488)". Lineage: Eukaryota; Viridiplantae; Streptophyta; Magnoliopsida; Rosales; Rosaceae. The record is from RNAcentral.
AUUCAAUCAAAGGGAUUUUGGAUGACAGCGGCAAUUGGUGUAUGGUGUACAAUUUUUGGUGACUAUUUCCAAAGCCUAUUUCAAACAAAUGGCUCGGCUGAACUCUCUGACAUCAUUGAGGUGGUACGGCCAACAGUCAUGUUGGAGCAGAAUGAGAGUCUAAACGGUCCCUUCUCAAGGGAUGAGAUUGAAGGUGCUUUGAGUCAAAUGUUUCCUACUAAAUUGCCGAGGGUAGAU